CAGGCGCAGGAGAAUCAAACUUGGUAUAAUGUAGUAGUUUAAUAACGUAAAACAAACUCCAAAACCAAAGUAUAUAAUAAAAUAAACGUGGGUACAAGAACCCGUCGCACACCAAUCCAUAAAUCACGAGCAUAACAAUAAACAAUAUCUGACAAGGACAUGAGGGAAAACAGAGGGUUAAAUACACAACAAUUAAUGAAUGGGAUGUGAACCCGGUGUGUAGGAAGACAAGACAAAACCAAUGUCAAAUGAAACAUGGAUCAAUGUGACGUCGACCACCGCCCGAACAAGGAGAGGCAUUAACUUCGGCAGAAGUCAUGACAGAAACAUCGAGAUGAUUGCCCAUUAUUUUGUUUUUCAAAGGACCCAGAAAAUGGAGGCAGUGGGAGAACCUAUUCAAAUACAGAGAGCUGCGAAUUUCUGUCUGCAGAUGAAGAGGUCCCAAUGAAUGUCACGAGAGAAUAAGAGUACAUCCGUGUAUACCAUUGGUUAUAUGUGUACCUAUGUUAGCAAAUGUUGUAAACAAAAAUACAGUACCACUGGAAAAAUUCUGGACAAUGUCCUCCUUUAGGCUAGAUGGACAUAUCCCCUUUUUGUAGGCCUAGAAUAGAUGGUUGCAUUCAAGACAGUGUCGUUUUUUUUAUUGAUCUGUUUGUCAGUGUUAGCAGAGUAGGCCUAGGCUAUCCCUUGAUCUGUCUUAUUAAAAAAAUAUUCUGCUAA
Long non-coding RNA from Oncorhynchus gorbuscha (pink salmon), 720 nucleotides. RefSeq lists it as uncharacterized. The record is from RefSeq and is a predicted model, not a curated record. Lineage: Eukaryota; Metazoa; Chordata; Actinopteri; Salmoniformes; Salmonidae. The transcript has 2 exons.